GACGAACGCUGGCGGCGUGCCUAAUACAUGCAAGUAGAACGCUGAAGGAGGAGCUUGCUUCUCUGGAUGAGUUGCGAACGGGUGAGUAACGCGUAGGUAACCUGCCUGGUAGCGGGGGAUAACUAUUGGAAACGAUAGCUAAUACCGCAUAAGAGUAGAUGUUGCAUGACAUUUGCUUAAAAGGUGCAAUUGCAUCACUACCAGAUGGACCUGCGUUGUAUUAGCUAGUUGGUGGGGUAACGGCUUACCAAGGCGACGAUACAUAGCCGACCUGAGAGGGGGGUCGGCCACACUUGGACUGAGACACGGCCCCGACUCCUACGGGAGGCAGCCGUAGGGAAUCUUCGGCAAUGGACGGAAGUCUGACCGAGCAACGCCGCGUGAGUGAAGAAGGGUUUCGGAUCGUAAAGCUCUGUUGUAAGAGAAGAACGAGUGUGAGAGUGGAAAGUUCACACUGUGACGGUAUCUUACCAGAAAGGGACGGCUAACUACGUG
Molecule: ribosomal RNA, 495 nt
Filed under: uncultured bacterium
Lineage: Bacteria
Description: partial 16S ribosomal RNA
Rfam family: Bacterial small subunit ribosomal RNA
Source: RNAcentral